UGUGCUAGGUGGGGAGUCAGCGGUGCCCUGAACUUGCAAUCCGCUACAGCAAGGCCGAAUGCUUUUCGAGGCUUAUCACAUGGUUGGCUGCGCACGGUAAGGCGUGUUGAUAUUAAGGUCUUAUGCAACGCAAACCUGCGAACCGUGUCAGGAUAGGGAUAUAGCAGCACUAAACAGUUAUUUGCGUGUGCCAUGAGGUAGCUUUAAAGGAGCGACCUGCCGUGUUUACGCUUCGGUGCGGUAUGUCGACAAAAGAUGCAC
RNAcentral lists this signal recognition particle RNA (261 nucleotides) under bovine gut metagenome. RNAcentral's name for it is "Bacterial large signal recognition particle RNA". It matches the Rfam family "Bacterial large signal recognition particle RNA". Rfam says of the family: The signal recognition particle (SRP) is a universally conserved ribonucleoprotein involved in the co-translational targeting of proteins to membranes. Archaeal SRP consists of a 7S RNA and homologues of the eukaryotic SRP19 and SRP54 proteins. The record is from RNAcentral.